Non-coding RNA from Phrynosoma platyrhinos (Desert horned lizard), 70 nucleotides. The record is from the annotation of a GenBank genome assembly. NCBI's taxonomy places the organism in Eukaryota, Metazoa, Chordata, Lepidosauria, Squamata, Phrynosomatidae.
GCCAGCAUGGUGUAGUGGUUUGAACAUUGGACUGUGACUCUGGAGACCAGGAUUCAAAUCUGGCUUGGCC